This 466-nucleotide ribosomal RNA is filed under the name uncultured bacterium. RNAcentral describes it as "partial 16S ribosomal RNA". It matches the Rfam family "Bacterial small subunit ribosomal RNA", at positions 28 to 507 of the family's 1533-position model. The record is from RNAcentral.
GAUGAACGCUGGCGGCGUGCUUAACACAUGCAAGUCGAACGGAAAGGCCCAAGCUUGCUUGGGUACUCGAGUGGCGAACGGGUGAGUAACACGUGGGUGAUCUGCCCUGCACUUCGGGAUAAGCCUGGGGAAACUGGGUCUAAUACCGGAUAGGACCACAUUUUGGAUGGUGUGGUGGAAAGUUUUUCGGUGUGGGAUGAGCUCGCGGCCUAUCAGCUUGUUGGUGGGGUAAUGGCCUACCAAGGCGUCGACGGGUAGCCGGCCUGAGAGGGUGUACGGCCACAUUGGGACUGAGAUACGGCCCAGACUCCUACGGGAGGCAGCAGUGGGGAAUAUUGCACAAUGGGCGCAAGCCUGAUGCAGCGACGCCGCGUGGGGGAUGACGGCCUUCGGGUUGUAAACUCCUUUCGCUAGGGACGAAGCGCAAGUGACGGUACCUGGAGAAGAAGCACCGGCUAACUACGUG